GUGGUGACCCAGAGCUCCAGGGGACAAACCCUGUGAGCGGGCAGGACAUGGCAUAUGGCGGCGCCCAGGUCGUCAGGAAGCAGGUUGUUUCACCUCCAACUUCCGUUUCACGGACCCUCAGAACCAGCCCACCUCAUGAACACACCUGGCUGUACUUCCCAUCCUUCACAUCCUUCUGUCUAUUCAAGAACCAGUCUGGGAUCUUGUAUUGGCGUGGAUUCUGCAUAAUGGUGAUCACACGUUCCACCUGGCAGGCAAGACAAGGUCAGGUCCACAUGGUCUUUUCUGAGACAGGCCCAAGCAGCCCCUCAUUCUCAUCCUCACCUCAUCUUCAGUGAGUUCUCCAGCCCUCUUGGUGAGGUCAAUGUCUGCUUUCCUCAACACCACAUGAGCAUACCUUCGUCCCACGCCCUAAGAUGAAAGGUUUUGGAAUUA
Molecule: long non-coding RNA, 435 nt
Organism: Jaculus jaculus (lesser Egyptian jerboa)
Lineage: Eukaryota; Metazoa; Chordata; Mammalia; Rodentia; Dipodidae
Exons: 2
Source: RefSeq, a predicted model, not a curated record